RNAcentral lists this unclassified non-coding RNA (404 nucleotides) under soil metagenome. RNAcentral's name for it is "partial contains 5.8S ribosomal RNA, internal transcribed spacer 2, and large subunit ribosomal RNA". The stretch from base 1 to 122 matches the Rfam family "5.8S ribosomal RNA", at positions 35 to 154 of the family's 154-position model. The record is from RNAcentral.
GAUGAAGAACGUAGCGAAAUGCGAUACUUGGUGUGAAUUGCAGAAUCCCGUGAACCAUCGAGUUUUUGAACGCAAGUUGCGCCCGAAGCCUUUUGGCCGAGGGCACGUCUGCCUGGGCGUCACGCAUCGCGUCGCCCCCCACAAUUCUCCGUAAAGGGAACAUGUGUUUUGGGGGCGGAUAUUGGUCUCCCGUGCUCAUGGCGUGGUUGGCCGAAAUAGGAGUCCUUUCGAUGGACGCACGAACUAGUGGUGGUCGUAAAAACCCUCGUCUUUUGUUUAGUGCUGUUGCUCGCAAGGUAAACUCUUUAAAAACCCCAAUGUGUCGUCUCUUGACGACGCUUCGACCGCGACCCCAGGGCAGGCGGGACUACCCGCUGAGUUUAAGCAUAUCAAUAAGCGGAGGA